CGCAGAAGACACCAAUGGACGCGUUCACCAGCUGCACCCCACACAGCAAAAUCUCCAGGCAGGAGGCGGCCACCAGCAGCGAGAAGAGCGUCACGUUCCAGGAGACCACACCAGGCGGCUCCACGCACGAGCUCCACUGAGUGCGGUUGAGCAGGUACGAGCCUCUGCGGGCGGGGCAGGGUCACGCGAGAGAAGGAGGUCACGCGGAGCGCCCCCCGCCCUCGGGGCUCCCCGCCCCGCGCAGGCGCCGAGGGGGAUAUGCAAAGGACUCGUUCGGCCCACGUGGAGGAAGCUGUCUCGAAGCCGAGUCCCACCUAGGUUUCUCAGUCCACGUGGGAAAGGCAGGUGGGCAGUAGCAGAGAAUGAGGGCGGGGGCGCGAAUACAGGCUGAGCCUUACGCGGUUUGUUGGAAGUGGUAUGCCCAGGAGCCGUCCUUUAAGCACUGUGGUCCAAUUCGGAGCCCGGCUCCCGAUACCGAGAGGCAGUAGAUGGCACCAAGCAUCCCGAACGCCGAGCAGAAGACCGAUCGCAGCAUCUGGAUACACAGUGCGAGGAGAGCGAUUCCCACAGCAGCCUGCACCACAACAGCCUUUGCCCCCUGCCCGGACGGCGGAAAUUCCUGGACACAGUACCUGUGGGAUCAGAGUCGAUGUGAUAGCGAGUCACCCAGGUCCCCAACUUGGAUCAGUGCUUACCCCGUAAUGUGACGAGCAAUAGCUGACUGACACAGACCCCAUGAUCUAGGCCACAGCUGAUUGACCCAAGAAGGAGUAGCCAACCCAAAAGCAGACAUGAAACCAGAGACCUGUGUGGUUGCUUGAGCUGAGACCCCUGGAGACUGAGCUCGCUGCACCCACGCACCCACAGUCGCCCUCCACUGUAUGUUUGUGUCCCAGAGCUGAGCCGUGCUGAUACCCCGGAACCAGGAUGGACAGACACUUCGAGGUCAUCCUGGGGAGUUUGGAGUGGGGUGGAGAAGCCGGUGGAAGUUACGGUACUGGAAGAUGCAUCAGGCCCUGGUUCGUCCUCCGCCCUGUCCUCUUGGCAGCCAACCUCGUGACCUCCUGCCUCCUGCUCGGUCUCCUCUGCCUCCCCUG
Molecule: long non-coding RNA, 1097 nt
Organism: Balaenoptera acutorostrata (minke whale)
Lineage: Eukaryota; Metazoa; Chordata; Mammalia; Artiodactyla; Balaenopteridae
Exons: 6
Source: RefSeq, a predicted model, not a curated record